ACUCCUACGGGAGGCAGCAGUGGGAAUAUUGCACAAUGGGCGCAAGCCUGAUGCAGCCAUGCCGCGUGUGUGAAGAAGGCCUUCGGGUUGUAAAGCACUUUCAGUUGUGAGGAAAGGUUAGUCGCUAAUAUCGGCUAGCUGUGACGUUAGCAACAGAAGAAGCACCGGCUAACUCCGUGCCAGCAGCCGCGGUAAUACGGAGGGUGCGAGCGUUAUCCGGAUUUAUUGGGUUUAAAGGGUGCGUAGGUGGAAGUAUAAGUCAGUGGUGAAAGUUUGCCGCUUAACGGUAAAAUUGCCAUUGAAACUGUAUUUCUUGAGAGUAUUCGAAGUAGGCGGAAUGAGUAAUGUAGCGGUGAAAUGCAUAGAUAUUACUCAGAACACCGAUUGCGUAGGCAGCUUACUAGGAUAUUUCUGACACUGAUGCACGAAAGCGUGGGGAGCGAACAGGAUUAGAUACCCUGUAGGCUCUG
RNAcentral lists this ribosomal RNA (470 nucleotides) under uncultured bacterium. RNAcentral describes it as "bacterial SSU rRNA". It matches the Rfam family "Bacterial small subunit ribosomal RNA", at positions 335 to 798 of the family's 1533-position model. The record is from RNAcentral.